This 468-nucleotide ribosomal RNA is filed under the name uncultured bacterium. RNAcentral's name for it is "partial 16S ribosomal RNA". It matches the Rfam family "Bacterial small subunit ribosomal RNA", at positions 28 to 507 of the family's 1533-position model. The record is from RNAcentral.
GACGAACGCUGGCGGCGUGCUUAACACAUGCAAGUCGAACGGAAAGGCCCUGCUUUUGUGGGGUGCUCGAGUGGCGAACGGGUGAGUAACACGUGAGUAACCUGCCCUUGACUUUGGGAUAACUUCAGGAAACUGGGGCUAAUACCGGAUAGGAGCUCCUGCUGCAUGGUGGGGGUUGGAAAGUUUCGGCGGUUGUGGAUGGACUCGCGGCUUAUCAGCUUGUUGGUGGGGUAGUGGCUUACCAAGGCUUUGACGGGUAGCCGGCCUGAGAGGGUGACCGGCGACAUUGGGACUGAGAUACGGACCAGACUCCUACGGGAGGCAGCAGUGGGGAAUAUUGCACAAUGGGCGGAAGCCUGAUGCAGCAGCGCCGCGUGCGGGAUGACGGCCUUCGGGUUGUAAACCGCUUUCGCCUGUGACGAAGCGUGAGUGACGGUAAUGGGUAAAGAAGCACCGGCUAACUACGUG